Molecule: ribosomal RNA, 466 nt
Filed under: uncultured bacterium
Lineage: Bacteria
Description: bacterial SSU rRNA
Rfam family: Bacterial small subunit ribosomal RNA
Source: RNAcentral
CCUACGGGAUGCAGCAGUGGGGAAUAUUGCACAAUGGGCGCAAGCCUGAUGCAGCCAUGCCGCGUGUAUGAAGAAGGCCUUAGGGUUGUAAAGUACUUUCAGUUGGGAGGAAGGCGUUGAUGCUAAUACCAACAACGAUUGACGUUACCAACAGAAGAAGCACCGGCUAACUCCGUGCCAGCAGCCGCGGUAAUACGGAGGGUGCAAGCGUUAAUCGGAAUUACUGGGCGUAAAGCGCACGCAGGCGGUUGAUUAAGUUAGAUGUGAAAUCCCCGGGCUUAACCUGGGAAUGGCAUCUAAGACUGGUCAGCUAGAGUCUUGUAGAGGGGGGGUAGAAUUCCCUGUGUAGCGGUGAAAUGCGUAGAGGUGUGGAGGAAUACCGGUGGCGAAGGCGGCCCCCUGGACAAAGACUGACGCUCAGGUGCGAAAGCGUGGGGAGCAAACAGGAUUAGAUACCCGCGUAGUC